RNAcentral lists this ribosomal RNA (375 nucleotides) under uncultured bacterium. RNAcentral's name for it is "bacterial SSU rRNA". It matches the Rfam family "Bacterial small subunit ribosomal RNA", at positions 523 to 897 of the family's 1533-position model. The record is from RNAcentral.
AUACGUAGGUGGCGAGCGUUAUCCGGAAUUAUUGGGUGUAAAGGGUGCGUAGGCGGGAUGUAAAGUCAGAUGUGAAAUACCGUGGCUUAACCACGGGGCUGCAUUUGAAACUUAUGUCCUUGAGUUAAGUAGAGGCAAGUGGAAUUCCCAGUGUAGCGGUGAAAUGCGUAGAUAUUGGGAGGAACACCAGUGGCGAAGGCGACUUGCUGGGCUUAUACUGACGCUGAGGCACGAAAGUGUGGGGAGCAAACAGGAUUAGAGGCCCUGGUAGUCCACACUGUAAAUGAUGAUUACUAGGUGUAGGGUGGCUGAACCAUUCUGUGCCGGAGUUAACACAAUAAGUAAUCCGCCUGGGGAGUACGGCCGCAAGGUUGA